ACAGAUCGGAUUUCGGAGUCCGAGGCGCGAGCCCCGACUCGGUCAUCUUCAGGGAUUAGACCAAAAUAGAAUCUGAUUAGUUUUGGCAUAAUCAUGAAUUACAAAUAAGAACAAUGAAAGACAACGACACUCGUUGUUGUCGACUGAGACAGUGAAGAAGGAAAGAGAAACCCAACCUCUAAACCCAACAACAAUCAAACUCAAAAUCUUCCCAUCAUAUUUCCUCGCGAAAUUAACAAACUUACCAGCGGAGAGAGAAAGAAGCUUGAUGAAAUUUUGCCUCAGAGAGCCCGAGAGGGUCUUCAAAGAUUUCAAGAACGGCAGAAAUAUUUAGGCGGCAGCAGCUGAGGCAGGCAUGGGAAGCGGUUGAUAUGGGCACGUGGACAGCUUUCCAGUGACGCUGCAUGAUUGUUCAGUGCAGGCACAACCUCUUCUUGCAGACCCGAUUUGCAGAUCCGCUCCUAGAGCUGCCAGCUCUUCACAUCAUCUUUGUCCACAUCAGAACCCACGAGCCUCUUGAGCUCUGACCUGACCUUGUAGAACACGUGCCUCCAGCUUCCUCUGUUGUCAGAGCCAAGAGCACAGCAAAAAGAUGGAACAAAGCAGCAGCACUACAUCAGUGUGUGCUUUUAUAAAAGAUGUAUUAUGGCUAUUGCCUCAACCAAGCAGGCUACACCUAACAAGAGAAGCAAGUCUGUAUAGAAGGAGCACUUAAUGACAUGUAAGCAUCACGGUAGCUGGAUGCAUAGAAGGAGAAUCAAGCACCGAUGAGAGUGACAGUGAGAGUAAUGCAUAUCACAAACACCGCCAGUUAGUACUCGAGACUGCUGCUCAAGUUUUCAGUGAUGCAGCCCAGGAAUAUUCCAAACUUUCAUUGGUCAAAGAAAGGUUUGAAGAAUGGAAGAAAGGUGCCAGAGAUGAUUUUUUUUAAUGUAAAUGGGAGUGCUUUGGAAUAAUUUGGUGGACUUGUGACAGCAGUGAUGAUGAUGAUGAUAAGGCCCAUGCGGAGAAACCAGCUAGUGGUGGACAGCAAUACUAGAAAGGUCCUCUGCUCCCUAUCUUUCAAAUACUUUAGUAUUAUUCUAUACUAUUUAACUUGCUUUGCAGGUGGAAAGGCAGUAACAAUUAACAAGAACAUGAUAAAUAUUAAUAUUAAUGGUAGUAUAAUAAUAUUACACUAUUUGAUCGUGGUGUUGAUAAGAACCCACAAAUAAUUGACGUUUACUUUAUCGCAAAUUUAUUUUUUUACUUAAAGUAUGAUGUGGAAUUAACCCUCAUACUUUAUGAAUUUAAUUUACUGCACAUUUACUUUUACUUAAAGUAUGAUGAGGAAUUAACCCUCAUACUUUAUGAAUUUAAUUUACUGCACAUUUACAUUUAUUUAAAAGGGUGGUGCGAGUUUAUCGUCCACGCCUUUACUUUUAUUUAAAUGUAUGGAGCAGAAUUAGUGCCCAUACAAGCAUGUUUACUUUAUCGUAAAUUUACUUUUACUUAAAGUAUGAUGAGGAAUUAACCCUCAUACUUUAUGAAUUUACUUUACUGCACAUUUAUUUUUACUUAAAGUAUGAUGAGGAAUUAACCCUCAUACUUUAUGAAUUUACUUUACCACACAUUUAAUUUUAUUUAAGAUAUGGUGCGGAAUUAACGUCCAUAUAGCAAGCAAUUUAUUUUAUCGCACAUUUACUUUUACUUAAAGUAUGAUGAGGAAUUAACCCUCAUACUUUAUGAAUUUAAUUUACCGCACAUUUACAUUUAUUUAAAGUGUGGUGCGGGUUUAUCGUCCAUACUAGUAAUUUAUUUACUAGCAAUUUAUUUUAUGGAUUAAAUGUGCUGUAUGAUGAGUUUUUACAGUAUGCAGAUCAAGAC
This 1866-nucleotide long non-coding RNA is filed under the name Prunus persica (peach). RNAcentral describes it as "long non-coding RNA (PPER_LNC005616)". Lineage: Eukaryota; Viridiplantae; Streptophyta; Magnoliopsida; Rosales; Rosaceae. The record is from RNAcentral.